CCUACGGGGUGCUGCAGUGGGGAAUAUUGGACAAUGGGCGAAAGCCUGAUCCAGCCAUGCCGCGUGUGUGAAGAAGGCCUUCGGGUUGUAAAGCACUUUCAGUGGGGAAGAAAGCCUUGGGGCUAAUACCCUCGAGGAAGGACAUCACCCACAGAAGAAGCACCGGCUAACUCCGUGCCAGCAGCCGCGGUAAUACGGAGGGUGCGAGCGUUAAUCGGAAUUACUGGGCGUAAAGCGCGCGUAGGCGGUCUGAUAAGCCGGUUGUGAAAGCCCCGGGCUCAACCUGGGAACGGCAUCCGGAACUGGCAGGCUAGAGUGCAGGAGAGGAAGGUAGAAUUCCCGGUGUAGCGGUGAAAUGCGUAGAGAUCGGGAGGAAUACCAGUGGCGAAGGCGGCCUUCUGGACUGACACUGACGCUGAGGUGCGAAAGCGUGGGUAGCAAACAGGAUUAGAUACCCCGGGUAGUC
RNAcentral lists this ribosomal RNA (466 nucleotides) under Vreelandella stevensii. RNAcentral's name for it is "partial 16S ribosomal RNA". It matches the Rfam family "Bacterial small subunit ribosomal RNA", at positions 338 to 795 of the family's 1533-position model. Lineage: Bacteria; Pseudomonadati; Pseudomonadota; Gammaproteobacteria; Oceanospirillales; Halomonadaceae. The record is from RNAcentral.